AUUGCAGGAAAGAGGCCUGGCCGAAGAAGCAGAGAAACUCUGGCUUCAGAAACGUUCAAGGUUUAAACAUUGACUCUAUCUCCGCAAGCCAAAGUGUCUGUUCUAAAAGAAGUCCAGCACCUUACAAUUUUUGCAACUGGUCAAAAGAAAGAGGGCUACCAUGCAGGAAUAAUUGGACCAUGCCUGGACAAGCACAAUGAGUUGGACGCAAGCCUUCAAUUCUAAUCUGGCAGCACACUUGUUGAUAAAUUGCAAAACGUCUCCUGGUUUCCAUGGAAAAAAAAGGAAGGAUGAUGCUCAGCUGUGGAUAAUAUCAACAACAAUGGGAUGAACAAUUUUGAUGAAUGCAAACUGAAAGAAAAUCCAGCAUAUGAAAUUCACAUUUUGGUAUAUUUUUAUUUGCUAAGUCUUUUCAGCUUUAAUAAACACAUGUCAAGAUAUACCUACUAAA
This is a long non-coding RNA of Herpailurus yagouaroundi (jaguarundi), 451 nucleotides long. RefSeq lists it as uncharacterized. The record is from RefSeq and is a predicted model, not a curated record. NCBI's taxonomy places the organism in Eukaryota, Metazoa, Chordata, Mammalia, Carnivora, Felidae. The transcript has 4 exons.